This 27-nucleotide non-coding RNA is filed under the name Rattus norvegicus (Norway rat). Lineage: Eukaryota; Metazoa; Chordata; Mammalia; Rodentia; Muridae. The record is from RNAcentral.
UUAUGGGCAUUUCUGUGCUGGAACUGA